UAAACAAAGGCAAAUGUCUACAAACACAGACGGAAAAAUGGAUUAAAUUUGGUGGCUAUCGAUGACCUAGCCAAGCGCUCCCACCCAACCAUGGAUGCCCAUGUCGGCAAGAGCCCCAUCCUCGCGACUACGACAUUUCCAUCUCCCUCACUGGGAAAGCUUACUCACACAUUGUGGGCUUUACAAAUAUUUAAUAAAUAUGCGUUUAAGACCAAGACCUGGCCGCCGUCUUCAUAAUUUACGCGGUCAAAGCAGAGGAUUUGUUUUGCUGGAAAAAGGAUACAGGCGCCGCGGAAAGUUAUGCUCUACCAGCCACUUAUUGGUAGAGCUCGCAUAUAAACACGGCUCUCAAGAGGAACACACGCGAUGCUCGCGUGUCGGGUCACCUAAUCCUGAGGAGCUCCAGGGGAAAAGAAGGGACAGGC
This is a non-coding RNA of Drosophila suzukii, 425 nucleotides long. Lineage: Eukaryota; Metazoa; Arthropoda; Insecta; Diptera; Drosophilidae. The record is from RefSeq and is a predicted model, not a curated record.